RNAcentral lists this ribosomal RNA (253 nucleotides) under uncultured bacterium. Its description in RNAcentral is "partial 16S ribosomal RNA". It matches the Rfam family "Bacterial small subunit ribosomal RNA", at positions 524 to 776 of the family's 1533-position model. The record is from RNAcentral.
UACGUAGGUGGCAAGCGUUGUCCGGAAUUAUUGGGCGUAAAGCGCGCGCAGGUGGUUUCUUAAGUCUGAUGUGAAAGCCCACGGCUCAACCGUGGAGGGUCAUUGGAAACUGGGGAACUUGAGUGCAGGAGAGAAGAGUGGAAUUCCACGUGUAGCGGUGAAAUGCAUAGAGAUGUGGAGGAACACCAGUGGCGAAGGCGACUCUUUGGCCUGUAACUGACACUGAGGCGCGAAAGCGUGGGGAGCAAACAGG